Molecule: ribosomal RNA, 445 nt
Filed under: uncultured bacterium
Lineage: Bacteria
Description: bacterial SSU rRNA
Rfam family: Bacterial small subunit ribosomal RNA
Source: RNAcentral
GUAGGGAAUAUUGGACAAUGGGCGGAAGCUUGAUCCAGCCAUGCCGCGUGGAGGAUGACUGCCCUCUGGGUUGUAAACUCCUUUUGUACAGGAAGAAACCUCCUCAUUUAUGAGUGAGCUGACGGUACUGUAAGAAUAAGCACCGGCUAACUCCGUGCCAGCAGCCGCGGUAAUACGGAGGGUGCAAGCGUUAUCCGGAUUCACUGGGUUAAAGGGUGCGUAGGCGGUUUUAUAAGUCAGUGGUGAAAUCAACGGGCUCAACCUGUUAACUGCCAUUGAUACGGUAGGACUUGAAUAUGAGAGAGGUAGGCGGAAUGUUGCAUGUAGCGGUGAAAUGCUUAGAUAUGCUACGGAACACCGAUUGCGAAGGCAGCUUACUAUUUCAUGAUUGACGCUGAGGCACGAAAGCGUGGGUAGCGAACAGGAUUAGAUACCCGUGUAGUCC